This 253-nucleotide ribosomal RNA is filed under the name uncultured bacterium. Its description in RNAcentral is "partial 16S ribosomal RNA". It matches the Rfam family "Bacterial small subunit ribosomal RNA", at positions 524 to 776 of the family's 1533-position model. The record is from RNAcentral.
GACAGAGGGUGCAAACGUUGUUCGGAAUUACUGGGCGUAAAGCGAGUGUAGGCGGUCUCCUAAGUCGGGUGUGAAAGCCCCGGGCUCAACCCGGGAAGUGCACUCGAAACUGGGAGGCUAGAGUAUCGGAGAGGUUGGUGGAAUUCUCGGUGUAGAGGUGAAAUUCGUAGAUAUCGAGAGGAACACCGGUGGCGAAGGCGGCCAACUGGACGAAUACUGACGCUGAGACGCGAAAGCGUGGGGAGCGAACAGG